RNAcentral lists this ribosomal RNA (1306 nucleotides) under uncultured bacterium. RNAcentral's name for it is "bacterial SSU rRNA". It matches the Rfam family "Bacterial small subunit ribosomal RNA", at positions 28 to 1381 of the family's 1533-position model. The record is from RNAcentral.
AACGUACGCUGGCGGCACGCCUAACACAUGCAAGUCGAACGAAGUAGCAAUACUUAGUGGCAGACGGGUGAGUAACAUGUAGGUAUCUGCCCUUUGGCCUGGAAUAACACGAGGAAACUUGUGCUAAUACCGGAUAAGUCUUUACGGAGAAAGCUUUAUGCACCAUUGGAUGAGCCUGCACUUGAUUAGUUUGUUGGUGGGGUAAUGGCCUACCAAGACCGUGAUCAAUAGCUGAUUUGAGAGGAUGAUCAGCCACAUUGGGACUGAGACACGGCCCAAACUCCUACGGGAGGCAGCAGUGGGGAAUCUUGCACAAUGGAGGAAACUCUGAUGCAGCGAUGCCGCGUGAGUGAAGAAGGCCCUUGGGUUGUAAAGCUCUUUCGUCGGGGAAGAAAAUGACUGUACCCGAAUAAGAAGGUCCGGCUAACUUCGUGCCAGCAGCCGCGGUAAUACGAAGGGACCUAGCGUAGUUCGGAAUUACUGGGCUUAAAGAGUUCGUAGGUGGUUGAAAAAGUUAGUGGUGAAAUCCCAGAGCUUAACUCUGGAACUGCCAUUAAAACUUUUCAGCUAGAGUAUGAUAGAGGAAAGCAGAAUUUCUAGUGUAGAGGUGAAAUUCGUAGAUAUUAGAAAGAAUACCAAUUGCGAAGGCAGCUUUCUGGAUCAUUACUGACACUGAGGAACGAAAGCAUGGGUAGCGAAGAGGAUUAGAUACCCUCGUAGUCCAUGCCGUAAACGAUGUGUGUUAGACGUUGGAAAUUUAUUUUCAGUGUCGCAGGGAAACCGAUAAACACACCGCCUGGGGAGUACGACCGCAAGGUUAAAACUCAAAUGAAUUGACGGGGACCCGCACAAGUAGUGGAGCAUGUGGUUUAAUUCGAAGAUACGCGCAGAACCUUACCAACACUUGACAUGUUCGUCGCGACUCUAAGAGAUUAGAGUUUUCGGUUCGGCCGGACGAAACACAGGUGCUGCAUGGCUGUCGUCAGCUCGUGUCGUGAGAUGUUGGGUUAAGUCCCGCAACGAGCGCAACCCUCACUUUUAGUUGCCAUCAUUAAGUUGGGCACUCUGAAAGAACUGCCAGUGAUAAGCUGGAGGAAGGUGGGGAUGACGUCAAGUCCUCAUGGCCCUUACGUGUUGGGCUACACACGUGCUACAAUGGUAUCUACAACAGGAAGCAAGACUGCGAAGUUAAGCAAAUCCCUAAAAGAUACCUCAGUUCGGAUUGCACUCUGCAACUCGAGUGCAUGAAGCUGGAAUUACUAGUAAUCGUGGAUCAGCGUGCCACGGUGAAUGCGUUCCCGGGUCU